AGGCAGGGAGGAUCGGGGCGCCAGCCGUGCCCCAAUACUGGAAAUCGGCUUUAUGCCAGGAUCAGUAACUGCCGGGUAAAUCCGCCGGCGGGAGGUACCCGCUUGUCCUGCUGAAAUGAAAUCAUGCCGUGCUGGAUGGUUAUGAGCGGCGAUCUACGCGAAGGCGGAGUCUCGACCGCAAAUCGCCGAAAUGGGUGAGGUCCGGGAGGGAGCAACCCUAAGGCGUCAUAACCCUGCUG
RNAcentral lists this signal recognition particle RNA (239 nucleotides) under Thermoproteota archaeon. RNAcentral's name for it is "partial signal recognition particle sRNA". It matches the Rfam family "Archaeal signal recognition particle RNA", at positions 1 to 242 of the family's 317-position model. Lineage: Archaea; Thermoproteati; Thermoproteota. The record is from RNAcentral.